UACGUAGACCUCAAGCGUUAUCCGGAUUUAUUGGGCGUAAAGAGCAUGUAGGUGGUUUUGUGCGUCUCUGGUUAAAGCCCACUGCCCAACGGUGGAGAUGCCAGAGAUACGACAAAACUAGAGGGAGUUAGAGGCAAGUAGAACGCACGGUGUAGGGGUGAAAUCCGUUGAUAUCGUGCGGAAUACCAAAGGCGAAGGCAGCUUGCUGGGACUUUCCUGACACUGAGAUGCGAAAGCGUGGGGAG
RNAcentral lists this ribosomal RNA (245 nucleotides) under uncultured bacterium. Its description in RNAcentral is "partial 16S ribosomal RNA". It matches the Rfam family "Bacterial small subunit ribosomal RNA", at positions 524 to 768 of the family's 1533-position model. The record is from RNAcentral.